This 389-nucleotide ribosomal RNA is filed under the name uncultured bacterium. RNAcentral's name for it is "bacterial SSU rRNA". It matches the Rfam family "Bacterial small subunit ribosomal RNA", at positions 30 to 424 of the family's 1533-position model. The record is from RNAcentral.
AUUGAACGCUGGCGGUAGGCCUAACACAUGCAAGUCGAACGCGAAAGUCCUUCGGGAUGAGUAGAGUGGCGGACGGGUGAGUAACGCGUAGGAAUCUAUCCUGUAGUGGGGGAUAACGUUUCGAAAGGAACGCUAAUACCGCAUACGCCCCAAGGGGGAAAGCGGGGGAUCUUCGGACCUCGUGCUAUAGGAGGAGCCUGCGUCGGAUUAGCUAGUUGGUGAGGUAAAGGCUCACCAAGGCGACGAUCCGUAGCUGGUCUGAGAGGAUGAUCAGCCACACCGGAACUGAGACACGGUCCGGACUCCUACGGGAGGCAGCAGUGGGGAAUAUUGCGCAAUGGGCGAAAGUCCUGACGCAGCCAUACCGCGUGUGUGAAGAAGGCCUGGUU